This 301-nucleotide ribosomal RNA is filed under the name uncultured bacterium. RNAcentral's name for it is "partial 16S ribosomal RNA". It matches the Rfam family "Bacterial small subunit ribosomal RNA", at positions 509 to 807 of the family's 1533-position model. The record is from RNAcentral.
CAGUAGCCACGGUAAUACGUAGGUGGCAAGCGUUGUCCGGAAUUAUUGGGUGUAAAGGGCUCGCAGGCGGUUUCUUAAGUCUGAUGUGAAAGCCCCCGGCUCAACCGGGGAGGGUCAUUGGAAACUGGGAAACUUGAGUGCAGAAGAGGAGAGUGGAAUUCCACGUGUAGCGGUGAAAUGCGUAGAGAUGUGGAGGAACACCAGUGGCGAAGGCGACUCUCUGGUCUGUAACUGACGCUGAGGAGCGAAAGCGUGGGGAGCGAACAGGAUUAGAUACCCGCGUAGUCCCUGUCUCUUAUAC